RNAcentral lists this ribosomal RNA (648 nucleotides) under Escherichia coli. Its description in RNAcentral is "partial 23S ribosomal RNA". It matches the Rfam family "Bacterial large subunit ribosomal RNA", at positions 2263 to 2905 of the family's 2925-position model. The record is from RNAcentral. Lineage: Bacteria; Pseudomonadati; Pseudomonadota; Gammaproteobacteria; Enterobacterales; Enterobacteriaceae.
GGGUAGUUUGACUGGGGCGGUCUCCUCCUAAAGAGUAACGGAGGAGCACGAAGGUUGGCUAAUCCUGGUCGGACAUCAGGAGGUUAGUGCAAUGGCAUAAGCCAGCUUGACUGCGAGCGUGACGGCGCGAGCAGGUGCGAAAGCAGGUCAUAGUGAUCCGGUGGUUCUGAAUGGAAGGGCCAUCGCUCAACGGAUAAAAGGUACUCCGGGGAUAACAGGCUGAUACCGCCCAAGAGUUCAUAUCGACGGCGGUGUUUGGCACCUCGAUGUCGGCUCAUCACAUCCUGGGGCUGAAGUAGGUCCCAAGGGUAUGGCUGUUCGCCAUUUAAAGUGGUACGCGAGCUGGGUUUAGAACGUCGUGAGACAGUUCGGUCCCUAUCUGCCGUGGGCGCUGGAGAACUGAGGGGGGCUGCUCCUAGUACGAGAGGACCGGAGUGGACGCAUCACUGGUGUUCGGGUUGUCAUGCCAAUGGCACUGCCCGGUAGCUAAAUGCGGAAGAGAUAAGUGCUGAAAGCAUCUAAGCACGAAACUUGCCCCGAGAUGAGUUCUCCCUGACUCCUUGAGAGUCCUGAAGGAACGUUGAAGACGACGACGUUGAUAGGCCGGGUGUGUAAGCGCAGCGAUGCGUUGAGCUAACCGGUACUAAU